AUUGAACGCUGGCGGCAGGCCUAACACAUGCAAGUCGAACGAGUGGCGGACGGGUGAGUAAUGUAUGGGAAACUGCCCGAUGGCGGGGGAUAACUACUGGAAACGGUCGCUAAUACCGCAUACCAUCGGAUGUGCCCAGAUGGGAUUAGCUAGUAGGUGGGGUAAAGUCUCACCUAGGCGACGAUCCAUAGCUGGUCUGAGAGGAUGACCAGCCACACUGGAACUGAGACACGGUCCAGACUCCGACGGGAGGCAGCAGUGGGGAAUAUUGCACAAGGGGAGCAAGCCUUAUGCAGCCAUGCCGCGUGUGUGAAGAAGGCCUUCGGGUUGUAAAGCACUUUCAGCGGGGAGGCGUUACCCGCAGAAGAAGCACCGGCUAACUCCGUGCCAGCAGCCGCGGUAAUAC
This 406-nucleotide ribosomal RNA is filed under the name uncultured bacterium. RNAcentral's name for it is "partial 16S ribosomal RNA". It matches the Rfam family "Bacterial small subunit ribosomal RNA", at positions 30 to 526 of the family's 1533-position model. The record is from RNAcentral.